RNAcentral lists this long non-coding RNA (6043 nucleotides) under Mus caroli (Ryukyu mouse). RNAcentral's name for it is "lncRNA (MGP_CAROLIEiJ_G0005105.1)". The record is from RNAcentral. Lineage: Eukaryota; Metazoa; Chordata; Mammalia; Rodentia; Muridae.
AGUCAAGCAAAGGUGAAAGCACUGUGCGUGACAGGCUUCAAGCAUGUGACCCUGGGGCCUGGGGGUCAGUACCUCCCUACAGGAGGCUCCAGGGAACAUUAAGUAGGUGGUUACAGAUAUUUUCUUUCUUGGCGCAGGCAGCAUUGACACAACAGUGUACCUGAACUCCCAGGCAUACAAAUGCUGACUGCAUUUGCUUUGUUAUUUAUGGAGAUAGAGUCUCAUGUAUCCCAUGCUGGCCUCCAACUUGCUAUGUAGCUGAGGAUACCCCUGACUCUCACUCUUCCAGCUGCUGGGAUAACAUAAUCACACCACACAGCAUUUUGUGUGGUGCUGGGUGUCAGACCCAGGGCUCUGUGCAUGUUUGGCAAGCAUUCCACUAACCGAGCCACAUCCUAGUCUAAUAAUACUGAUUUUAGAAGUUAUUUACCUUUUAUAUGUUCAAAUACCAUAGAGAAUAAUAUUUUCACGAAAUUCCACAGCGUAUUAAACAAGAUUUUAAGAUAAUUUAUUCCAUUAUCUAACUAUAUGUGCACAUGUAGAAUACGUGUAAACCAUAUGAUUAUCAUGUAAUCUGGUUUCAUGUACACACACAUGUAUGUUUCCAUGUACACAUGUGUAUUUGUUUGAAAUAUCCCAGGGUUUGAACAAAAUGUACCCUGUAAUUACCUUGUGAGCAAUUUCUGUUUUCUUUUUUAUGCUUUUCUAUAUUACCAGAUGUUCCUUAAUGAACACUUUUAUAUUCACAAACAAAUUAAAUAAAAUCAAGCAUAUCUCCUUUCCUGUUUUGCCAACUCCAGCAGAUCUGGGAGGUGGAACUGGACUCCGAGAUGGGAUUCAGAGAACACCCCAACUCCAUCAAAGUGAGAUGGCUGCAGGGAAAAUGGCUUUGGUCUGGAACACCCAACCCUCUGCCCUUGGCUUUGUCCCUACAGAGCCCUGCAAGGGGAGCCCGGAGAGCCCUGUCCCAGGCAGACCUUUCUGAUUGCAGGGCUGACCUCCGGCCAUGUGCACCUCUCUGGGAACAGCUGCCUUCUGUAUUGCCCUGCCCAGCAUAGGAUUUUGGGUUCCGGUCUUGCUGGUCAUCCCGACUCCUCAAGGGUUAGAGGCAGUAGCACUGACAACACAGGUGGGAAGAGCCUGUGUCAGUGACUGAACAUAAGCCCAUCCACUUGUAACCCUGAAAGCUUAAGGAUAUUGUUUGGGGCAACCAAAGCUUUAGAUGAGGGAUAACUGCCUCAGAGAAUGUUGACCUGCAGUUGGUGAACUUAACCCCUUGUCUGGGCUUCCAGUUCUUAUAAUUUCAGUUCCCAUGAAUCUCUGGAUCCAGUAGCUGAUUAAGGUGGUUCGGGUUUAGGGUCUGGAUUCUUGUGGGCUCUGUGGCUAGGCUUUGAAGUUGACUGUGAGCGUCUCUCGGAACGGGACUCUGCCUUUAUUAAAAGCUGCUGGGGACCAGUGUUCACCACCCGCCCUCUCCUGCCUGCUGGUCUCACAAGGCUGCUGGGAGAGACACCGGGUGGCUCUGGUUUCUCUCCCCUCCCUGAUUGUUGGAGCAGAUUCUGUUAGCAGCCUGUGGGUAUAAAUAAGAGCCUGAAACUGUUAAAAAUAAUUUUUUUUAACCGUCUCAAAUAGGAAAGCUGAGGCACAGAAGGUUAAGGACACAGUGUGAUUCUGAGUUUCUAGUCAGCAGCAAAUGCCACGGUGUCUAGUCCUGGAGAACAGCCGGCCUCAGAGGCCAGGUUUAUGCCUAGUGUGAAGACAGCCCACAGUAUGCUCAGCUAGGUGUCCCUGAAGGGUAUAGGCUGGUCACUGGUUCUGCUCAGAGUCUCCAAUGAGGUCCCACUAUGUUUUGCUUUCUCUCUCUUUGUCUCUGUCUGUCUCUGUCUCCCUCUCUCCCUCUCUGUCUCUCCCUCUCUUCCUUCCUUCUCUUCCUCUCUCUCUCUCUCCCUCCCCAUCUCACUCCCCUUAUAUGGCAAGCAACCCUCUGAGUUAGUCUCUCAUCAGUGUGUGGUGCUGAAGUUAAUCCAUUACUUAUUUAUUAUGAGUAUGCGUAUGUGUGCAGGCCCAUGCCUGUCGCAUCAUGUGUGUGGAAGGUCAGAGGACAAUUUGGAGGAGUCUCUUUUCUCCCCGUACCAUGUAGGUUCCAAGAGGAUCAAGCUCCGAGCCUCAGGCUUCAAAUGGCAGCAAGCACCUUCACCAGAUCAACUCUCUGGAGGACCCAUACUGCUGCUGUCAUGUGAGAACAAGGGAUGUCUGGGAGUGUUGGCUUGUGCUUAUAAUCUCAUCACGCGGGAGGCCGGGAGUGAAGCAAUGCUACGUCUGAGGCCAGAGUGAUUGACAUGGGGAGCUGCAGGAUAGCCAGGGGUGUGUAGUGAGACUGUCUGGGCAGCCAGUGUGUGUGUGUGUGUGUGUGUAUUGGGAGGGGGGGUGCGGGGAGGGGCGACAGAAAUAGGAAGUGAAUGUGUAAUUCACUGGAAAUAAUGAAACAGGGCAUAGGAGCACGUGUCUAUAAUCCCAGCGCUCAGGCUGAGUCAGGAGGAUCACUCAAUCUAGGCUAGCCUGGGUUACAUAGUAAGACCAUAUGUUAAAAAUAAAAAAGAUUGGGCUGGCGAGAUGGCUCAGCGGGUAAGAGCACUGACUGCUCUUCCGAAGGUCCUGAGUUCAAAUCCCAGCAAUCACAUGGUGGCUCACAACCACCCAUAAUGAGAUCUGACGUCCUGCCCUCUUCUGGUGCAUCUGAAGACAGCUACAGUAUACUUAUUUAUAACAAUAAAUAAAUCUUUGGGCCAGAGCAAGCAGGGACUGAGCGAACAGAGUUGAUCAGAGCAAGCAGGGCUGACCAGAACAAGUGGGGUUAACCAGAGUGGGCAGAGGUCCUAAAAAUUUAAUUCCCAACAACCAUAUGAAGGCUCACAACCAUCUGUACCACUACAGUGCACUCAUAUACAUAAAAUAAAUAAAUAAAUCUUUAAAAAAAAAAGAAUGCAACUGACCCUGGGUCCCACUGUCAAUACAUAACCAUGAGGGUCAAGGGUGCUGGCUACUUACUGAGUGCCUAUUGCUUACUGAUCCACUGCCACCCCACACCCCCACUGGCUCCUAAGAAUACCUGCAGGCAGAAACUCUCAUCCCUUCACCUCCCCAAGGGAACCUGAGUCCCUGAGAUAGAGCAUCCACAAGGAGAGCAAGAAAUGAACUGGGUGGCUUCAGUCCCUAUAGUCCCACCAGUGCCACCACAGCCUCUCCCCUGUAAGACACAUAUUCUCUGAAAACAUAGUAAAUUAGCAUGGAAAAAUUGUUUUCUCAUCUACCCAGGAUUUGAAAUCCUUUCUGUAGGCAGAACUCAGUAACAGAAACACCAAUGAGAUACACUUGCAUUGUGGCAUUGUGAACCUACAGCCACAGUCAGGGAUGGGUGCUUAGUUCUCAGAGCCCAGAACAAGAUCAAAAGGCAGCUCUGAGCUAAAAAAUGAUUCAGGUUCCCGGGCAGGUGAUGGCUGACAAGUAUAGGUUCCUUUGUGCACGUGGCCCUGUGGAACUGAGUAUGCUGCACCCCUGCGUGACCAGCCCCAGGUAAGUAAUUAUUUUCCAUCUUUGUGGUCUUUCCCCAGCCCUACUUUUUUUUUUUUUUUUUUUUUUUUUUUUUUUUUUUUUUUAUGGACAGGUUCUUAUAUAACCCAGUUUAGCCUUGGACAGAUUAUGUAACCAAGAAUGACUCCUAACUGUCCUGUUUCUACCUCCCAAAUGAUGGGGUUAUAGGUGUGGCCAUCACUCCUGUUUGAUGCAAUGCUGGGGAUCAAACCCAGGGCUUCAAGCACACCAAAUAAAUACCCUACUAACUGAGCAUAUUCCCAGCCACCACCACCAUCAUCAUUUCUUCCCUCUUACAUGUUCCUCCUUUGUUUAUUUUUUAAGAAGUUUUUAAAGAUUUAUUUUAAUUUUUUAUGUGUAUAGUAUUUUGCCUGUAAGUAUGUCUGUGUCCCAUGUGUGUACAGUGCCCCUUGGAGACCAGAAUCAGGUGUUAGAUUCCCUGGAACUGUAGUUGCAGACAGUCAUAAGCCCUCAUGUGUGUGCUGGGAAUCAAACCCAGGUCCUCUGGAAGAGCAGCAGCCAGUGCUCUUGACCACUGAGCCAUCUCUCUGGCCUCAAGAUUUUUUUUUUUAUUUUAUCUUUUUAAAAGAUAAUAGCCAUGGCUGGGCUGAACCUUGCUGUGCAGUCCAGGCUGGCCUCAAACUCAGAUAUACCUGUUUCUGCCUCCUGGGUGCUGGGAUUAAAGGUAUGUGACAUCAUGCUCUAUUCUGGAGAUUCAUUUUUAAGUGUGCAUGUGUGUGUGUGUGUGUGUUUGCAUGUGUGUGUGUGUGUGUGUGUGUGUGUGUGUGUGUGUGCGCGCGCGCAUGCGUGCGCGCGUGCUCAGGCACUCAGGCACCUGAUGAGCCCAGAUGAGUAUGUCACAUACCCUGGAGCUGGAGUUAUAGGCAGUUGUGAUCUGCCUGGUGGGAAAACACAGGUCCUCUAGAAGAGCAGUGCCAGUUUUUACGCAUUUCUUUCUCCAGCCCACUUUGGUUUUGACAGUUUCUCACCACACAGCCCAGAGUGCCUCAAAGUCACAGCUUUUCUACUUUUGAUUCUGAAACACUGGGUUACAGGUCCUUUGGGACAAACUGAGCAUUUUGGAUGCAUUGAAAAAUAUACUGUGGGCUCACAGACACCGCUGUCCCUGUUGCCGCUUGCCACGGCCAUGGUCAGUCCCACAUCGGUGCUGAUGGUGUGAGCCUUUGCUGACAAAGUUCCAAAGACAACCAAAAAAACCAUUCAUGAUCUGAGCACCAGAGAGAAAACUUGGGCCCUAAGAGCUCCCUUUCAUAGCGUUAUUUCAGGAUUCACGGGCCAGGGUGGUGACUUCGCACACCAUAAUGGCACUGACAGCGGGUCCAUCUGCGGGGAGAGAUUUGAGGGUGAGAACUUUGUCCUGAAGCAUUCGGGUCCUGACAUCUUGUCCCUGGCAAGCACUGAGCAAUAUACAGUGCCCAGUUCCUCAUCUGCACUGCAAGGCUCGGGCAGCUAGAUGGCAAACAUAUGGGCUUUGGGAAGCUGAAAGAAGACCUGAACGUCACAGAAGCCAUUAGAGCGGUUUAGGAAUGGCAAGACCAGCAAGAAGGUCACCAUUGCCCACUGUGGGCGACUCUGAUUCUUCUGACUCUUGGGCAUCUUACCCACCAGACCAUUCCUUCUGUAGCUCAGGAGGGUGUCCCCACCAUACCUACCCCAUAGUCUCUGUUCCCACGGGGUCCCAUAUUUUCCUCAUUUGCCUCCGAGUCUUAAUAGUCCCCUGCAAAGUUAAGUUUAUGACUAUGGAUAAAAACUAAAUAAGGGGAAAAAAGGAAAUGAAAAUAUCAAAUGGGGUUCCCGGAAAGGAUGCCAGCAGAGAAAGCGGGCAGGCUUCCCCCUUAAAACGGAGCUUAACUCAGACUGAAUUCUCUUGAAAUGACCGCCCUGCUUCCAUGGAAUUUCCCCUGCUCUGCGGUGGAGUCAUUGCGGCAACUGUCUCGGGGCUUGUGGAUACAACUGGUUACUUUGAGAACAGUGGGAGGAGUCAUCCUGCACUCUUAGGACAGGAUUUCCAGCUUCGCUGGUAGGCAAUAACACCCCCACCCCCCACCUCCACACAUGAAGCCCGUGGGAACGCUGGGAACAUACUGUAAACCUGUGGAGGCCAAAGUGUCCCUGAGCUCUUAGGUGCCUCGCUUUCUUAACUAGCCCCUGGCUCCACCCACUGUGUCCCUAGUACCAUGCCAGGUAGGUUAGCCAGUAUCACUGCAGGCUCCUAUGCUAAGCUCUUCUAAGUGACCUGUGUAAACUGACUCUUUCACAAAGAACUGAAAUGAAGAGAUCCACUUAGCAGAGAGGUGCGGACAGGCCACCACCACUCACUUUUGUGGAAGAAAAAAACGCAUCCUUCCUUACCCCACCCUCACCACGUCCAGAUUGGGGUCUGGGCCCUUCUUAUUUUCCCCUUAGGAAAAAGACAAAACAAAACAAAAUC